AAUUGCUAGUAAUGGCAGGUCAGCAUACUGCCGUGAAUACGUUCCCGGGGCCCUUGUACACACCGCCCGUCACACCAUGAGAGUUGGAAAUACCCGAAGCCUGUGAGCUAACUUAAAGAGGCAGCAGUCGAAGGUAGAGCCAAUGAUUGGGGUGAAGUCGUAACAAGGUAUC
Molecule: ribosomal RNA, 172 nt
Filed under: uncultured bacterium
Lineage: Bacteria
Description: partial 16S ribosomal RNA
Rfam family: Bacterial small subunit ribosomal RNA
Source: RNAcentral